AGAAUCAACGCUGGCGGCGUGCCUAACACAUGCAAGUCGCACGAGAAAGGGGAGCAAUCCCUGAGUACAGUGGCGCACGAGUGAGUAACACGUGAAUAAUCUACCUCCGAGUGGGGAAUAACUGAGAGAAAUCUUAGCUAAUACCGCAUAACACUUACGAGUCAAAGCAGCAAUGCGCUUGGAGAGGAGUUCGCGGCCGAUUAGUUAGUUGGCGGGGUAAUGGCCCACCAAGACGAUGAUCGGUA
RNAcentral lists this ribosomal RNA (245 nucleotides) under uncultured bacterium. Its description in RNAcentral is "partial small subunit ribosomal RNA". It matches the Rfam family "Bacterial small subunit ribosomal RNA", at positions 26 to 285 of the family's 1533-position model. The record is from RNAcentral.